This 269-nucleotide long non-coding RNA is filed under the name Olea europaea (common olive). RNAcentral's name for it is "long non-coding RNA (OEUR_LNC014467)". Lineage: Eukaryota; Viridiplantae; Streptophyta; Magnoliopsida; Lamiales; Oleaceae. The record is from RNAcentral.
AUUUUUUGUCUUUAGUUGCUUCAUUCAUCAAUACAUACAAAAGAAAAACAUGAUAAUGUUAGUUUUUUAUUACAUUACGCACAUCGAUUUGGAUCACAGAUCAAGUGAGAUUAGAAUAACUACCUCUUGAAGCCAUAAUCACAAACAAAAUUGGUUUUAUAAUCUCACAGCAAGCACAAUUGCACAAGUCAAAAUCCAAAUCUUCAUUUUCUUCUCUUCUAUCAUGCCAGGCAGUUUUUUAAUGGCAAAACUGAUUUGAUACAUUGUUG